This is a long non-coding RNA of Biomphalaria glabrata, 382 nucleotides long. RefSeq lists it as uncharacterized. NCBI's taxonomy places the organism in Eukaryota, Metazoa, Mollusca, Gastropoda, Planorbidae. The record is from RefSeq and is a predicted model, not a curated record. The transcript is spliced from 2 exons.
UAAAGACCAACUGAAGAGGUUUUUUUCGAAAUUGAGAUAGCGAUUGAUUCAGACAGUAGAUAGCAUCAAAGUUAGUUCCUAAAAUUUUGAGAUUUUAGAAAAGCGUAUUUAUAUUAGAAAAAGUAAUUUGAAAGUGGAAAAAAUAACGAGAUUUGAAAAUCAGCUUCAAUGGCCGAAACCGGAAGUGACGUCUUGUAAUGGACUGAGAAAAUAAAACAUAUGACAUGUGGCAUACAGACAAGUUUACUAGAUGGAUCUUUCAUCAUUUUGGAAAUACAAGAAGAGUUAAUAUUCCCUGUUUCUAUUUUGAAACAAAUCACAGAAACAUUCUACAAUUUUAUUUUAUAUAAUAAAUACCAAUAAAUGUAAAUACAAAAUCACA